GGCCUGGUGGUGGAGUGGUAACACACCUGCUUUGUAUAAAUCGUAGAGCUGAAUGCUUAGGCAGGAGAUUCCUUGUUCGAGUCAAGGUCAGGCCA
Mycena latifolia is the source of this 95-nucleotide non-coding RNA. NCBI's taxonomy places the organism in Eukaryota, Fungi, Basidiomycota, Agaricomycetes, Agaricales, Mycenaceae. The record is from the annotation of a GenBank genome assembly.